UGGGCAAUGGAGGCAACUCUGACCCAGCAACGCCGCGUGAAUGAUGAAGGUCUUCGGAUUGUAAAGUUCUGUGAGGGGGACGAAGAAAGUGACGGUACCCCAAUAGCAAGCUACGGCUAACUACGUGCCAGCAGCCGCGGUAAUACGUAGGUAGCAAGCGUUGUCCGGAAUGACUGGGCGUAAAGGGUGCGUAGGUGGUUUAACAAGUUGGUAGUGAAAUUCCGAAGCUUAACUUCGGCGCUACUGCCAAGACUGUUGAACUUGAGUACAGGAGAGGUAAGUGGAAUUCCUAGUGUAGCGGUGGAAUGCGUAGAUAUUAGGAGGAACACCAGUGGCGAAGGCGACUUACUGGCCUGCAACUGACACUGAGGCACGAAAGCGUGGGGAGCAAACAGGAUUAGAUACCCUGGUAGUCCACGCCGUAAACGAUGAUUACUAGGUAUGGGAGGUAUCGACUCCUUCCGUGCCGCAGCAAACGCAAUAAGUAAUCCGCCUGGGGAGUACGGCCGCAAGGUUGAAACUCAAAGAAAUUGACGGGGACCCGCACAAGCAGCGGAGCAUGUGGUUUAAUUCGACGCAACGCGAAAAACCUUACCAGGUCUUGACAUCCUUUGACCGCCUGAGAGAUCAGGAAUCUCUAGCAAUAGAGCAGAGAGACAGGUGGUGCAUGGUUGUCGUCAGCUCGUGUCGUGAGAUGUUCGGUUAAGUCCGACAACGAGCGCAACCCCUGUAUACAGUUGCCAAUAUUAAGUUAGGAACUCUGUAUAAACUGCCGUGGCUAACACGGAGGAAGGUGGGGAUGACGUCAAAUCAUCACGCCCCUUACGACCUGGGCCACACACGUGCUACAAUGGCUAUUACAAAGAGCAGCGAAACUGUAAAGUCGAGCGAAUCUCAAAAAGAU
This 904-nucleotide ribosomal RNA is filed under the name human gut metagenome. RNAcentral's name for it is "bacterial SSU rRNA". It matches the Rfam family "Bacterial small subunit ribosomal RNA", at positions 365 to 1283 of the family's 1533-position model. The record is from RNAcentral.